UCUUGUCGUUUGGGAUGUUCCAAGAAGCAUCUCACAUACACAAACUACAAAAAAGGUACAAAGAGACAUAAAAAAAUCUGGCAUUCACAUGUGCGUCAGAUAUUUCAUCAUGUGGGUCACCCAUCCCUAUGCAGAAUUCCCCUCCAAUAAUUCACUCCCAAUAAUUGUUCAGCCACCCAUCAGCUUCAAUUUAUAUGUGUGUAUAUAUAUACUUCCAUGGUUACCUUAGUGCAAGAACCUUGCACCAUUUCUAAGUAUGUGGAGCAACCUCCCCUUUGAUCUCCUAGCCAACAUCUUCUCACUCCUCUCCCCGGACACGUUGGCACGCGCCAGGUCAGCUUGUCGGCAUUGGCACACGUGUGCCAAUGUCUCGUACACCGCCCCCGUAGGGGCAUGCCGUCAACCACCGUGGUUGGUGGCCUUGCCCACGCGCCACCGUGGGCUCUUUUGCUAUGCCCACAAUCCUAUUAUCGACAAGUGGCACGUUCUCCCGCUCGACUUCGUGCCGGACCCGGCUCGGCCCAUUGCUCCAAUUCGUGGGCUUAUACUCUUGAGGCACACAAGCACCACAACCCUCCAAUUAGCCAUAUGCAACCCAUUCACUAGGCAAUACAAGACCCUACCAAUGCUAAUCAUCGCACGCACCAAUCCAGCAGUGGGCCUGAUAGAGUUGGGCUCAAGCCCAACCCAACACGUUUCGUGUCCUUACUUUCUAGUCUACGUGGCCGGAGGCAUGUCCGAGGCGCCACAUGGUGCUGGCGCCUCGUACGAGGCCACAUUGGAAAUGUACGAUUCAAGACGCAACACUUGGCAAGUUAUUGGACCAAUGCCAAUGGAGUUCGCAGUGAGGCUAACGGUUUGGACACCUAAUGAGAGUGUCUACUCCAAUGGGGUAUUAUAUUGGAUGACCUCGGCUCGAGCCUAUAGCGUAAUGGGAUUCGAGAUUGGGACAAACAUUUGGAAGGAAUUGAGCGUGCCGAUGGCGGACCGGCUCGAGUUUGCGGCGUUGGUGCCUCGGAACAAGAAAUUGGUACUUAUCGGUGGCGUGUGUAGAGGUGAUGCAUUUGUUUGGGAGCUGGGGGAGGACGGUGCUUGGAAUUCGAUUGGGAAAGUGCCUUUUGAAUUGGGGGUGAGAUUUUUAGGGGGAAAUGGGAGUUGGGGUAUGACUAAAUGUGUGGGUAUUGAUGGGGAAGUGUGGCUGUAUAGGGACCUUGGGUCAGGGAUGGUGGUUUGGAGGGAGGAUUGGGAGAAAGGUAGGUGGGAAUGGAAUUGGGUUGAAGGGUGUUGCUUCAUUAGAGGCAAACAAGUUCAUAAAUUUCCUAUUAAAGAUAAUACUGAUUUCACGGUGAUUGGGGUGAUCGGACUACCUAGGGUAGGGAAGUCGACGAUAAUGAAUGAGCUCUAUGGCUUUGAUGGAACUUCACUUGGUUCAUUAUCCUUUACAGGCUAUUGAGAGUGUCCCCUUUUCUGAAUCCAAAGUACAGCUUCUUGAAGCAGAGAAGGCUGAACUGAGGUGUCUUUUACCUAGAAGCUUGAUGGAUCAUGAUUUUUUUUUCCACCAUCCUCACCACAGAAAGAAAGUAAUGAUAAAUGCGCCAUUGAUCGAUUUUGCAACUAUAGUUGGUGUGGGCAGCGCAAGAUGCCUUCUUACGUAAAAAAGCUUGUUUUCCCUAAAGAUUUCUUCACUAACUUGAGGACAAUAGCCAAGCAGGAAGAUGAAAUUUAUCAAGUUUCAUCAUUGCUGCAAGAGCUUGUUAGUUCUGAUGGAGAGAAGCAACCAUCUAAUGGAGAAGUUCGAGCUGUAACAUGGAAGGCCUGUGGGGAUUCUGGUGCCCUACAAUUGCUCGUUGAACUUCCUAAUAUGAAGAAUAGGUUAUAUGGAUGUGAGACGAGAAGUUCAGAAGAAUAAUAAAUGUCGGCUGCAAGAGUACUGAUUCUCCAAGUGGUGAUGCAGUUCUGAUUCAUAUCAUAAUAAACUUCUUCCACUCAAAGGAUCACUUUAUCCUUAAAAUUUCAUUAUUACAUGCCACAUAUGCAGGAAGGGAGAAUAUGGAUUUUACACAUGGAAUGAACAUGGAUGCUAAUUGUCAACAAGAUGAGUAUACUUCUCUAGAGGUUAUGGCUAUCUUCCCUAGUAACGCAUCUUUUGAAUCCAGGGUGUCAUCUAUGGUUUACUUUUCAUUUGGAUUGUAUUUCUAAAUAUGAUCUUACAAUAUAACUUGAUUUUGAUGUAUUGGUUAUCUCCAGCUAUUAUGCUCCCAAAAAGAUUGAUUUGGGAAUUGGGGACCAUCUUUUGGUUUGUAUUCUUUUUGCUCCAGAUAAGUACACUGAAGUUUGAUCAAUUUAAUAGUUUGUCAUGACUCAAGCUGGUUCUCAUUGAGAUACUCAACAUAAUAUUGACUUGACAUAAAAUCUUGUUUUCUAUAUCUUUGUCCAUAACAGUUCUUAUGGGAACUUAACUUUAAACCAUAUUUAUGCAAUUUUAUGGAGGUUGUUGACUGAAAAUGGCCCAACGAACAACACACAACUUUGUUGUGACCUAAGUUGGCUUUUGCGCAAAUGCAUUUGUUUAGGCUGUCAAUUUUGUGUAUUUUCUGUUUUAGGAAAGUUUUCACUUAUCAAUUACAAAUUUCCUGAUUUAGCUGCGGUUUGUUAUGGUAAGUUUCUACUCCUUUCUGGUAUCUAAAUUUUUAUUAGUAGACUUGCUUCUUGUUUUUCACAUAGAUGCUAUGAUCAAGCAUUUGGAAGCAACUUGCAGAUGCAAAGAAGCAAUACGAUCUGAUGCUAGAAAGUAAACAAUUAGAAUUGUCAAGGCAUUUGAAAGAAUUAUCUCAGAAAAAUGACCAGGCCAUUAAUGAUAUCCGCAGGAGGUUUGAAGUUGGGAAGCUGGAGGGUGUCAAUAUUGAGAAAGAAAAGGCUGAUAAAGCUGUUCAAGAAAUGGAAAGCAAAUGUGACCAAAAGCUUGCAGAAUGCAAGGGAGAAUCACGACAGUAUUUGAUGCGCAUAUAGGAGGAACAUGCUGCUUUGAAAUCAAGUCUUGCAGAUUCUUAGUAAACUUCUUGUUGCAAUGCUUUCAAAGCCAUUCUUGCAGGAAAAGUAUGUCAAAGCUGACAUGGGUAGCAGCUUGCCAAGCAUUUCUUUGUGGAUUACUUGGGAGUAUGAGGACACAAGUGAAGAACCUGAGCAAGCUGCCUUGAAAAAAGUGAACAACAAGAAGUUGAAGAAGCU
This is a non-coding RNA of Camellia sinensis, 3228 nucleotides long. The record is from RefSeq and is a predicted model, not a curated record. NCBI's taxonomy places the organism in Eukaryota, Viridiplantae, Streptophyta, Magnoliopsida, Ericales, Theaceae.